This 748-nucleotide ribosomal RNA is filed under the name uncultured organism. Its description in RNAcentral is "bacterial SSU rRNA". It matches the Rfam family "Bacterial small subunit ribosomal RNA", at positions 46 to 839 of the family's 1533-position model. The record is from RNAcentral.
GCUUAACACAUGCAAGUCGAACGCAACCUUCGGGUUGAGUGGCGGACGGGUGAGUAACGCGUGAGAAUCUGCCUUGGGGUCGGGGACAACCACUGGAAACGGUGGCUAAUACCGGAUAAGCCUUUGGGUAAAAGAUUUAUUGCCCCAAGAGGAGCUCGCGUCUGAUUAGCUAGUUGGUGAGGUAAAAGCUCACCAAGGCAGCGAUCAGUAGCUGGUCUGAGAGGACGAUCAGCCACACUGGGACUGAGACACGGCCCAGACUCCUACGGGAGGCAGCAGUGGGGAAUUUUCCGCAAUGGGCGAAAGCCUGACGGAGCAAGACCGCGUGAGGGAGGAAGGCUCUUGGGUUGUAAACCUCUUUUCUCAGGGAAGAAGCUCUGACGGUACCUGAGGAAUCAGCCUCGGCUAACUCCGUGCCAGCAGCCGCGGUAAUACGGAGGAGGCCAGCGUUAUCCGGAAUUAUUGGGCGUAAAGCGUCCGCAGGUGGCGAUUCAAGUCUGCUGUCAAAGCACGGGGCUUAACUCCGUUAAGGCAGUGGAAACUGAAUAGCUAGAGUGCCGUAGGGGUAGAGGGAAUUCCCGGUGUAGCGGUGAAAUGCGUAGAGAUCGGGAAGAACAUCGGUGGCGAAAGCGCUCUACUGGACGGCAACUGACACUCAGGGACGAAAGCUAGGGGAGCGAAUGGGAUUAGAUACCCCAGUAGUCCUAGCUGUAAACGAUGGAUACUAGGUGUAGCUUGUAUCGACCCG